CUGCGGCUUAAUUUGACUCAACACGGGAAACCUCACCAGGUCCGGACACCGGAAGGAUUGACAGAUUGAGAGCUCUUUCUUGAUUCGGUGGGUGGUGGUGCAUGGCCGUUCUUAGUUGGUGGAACGAUUUGUCUGGUUAAUUCCGAUAACGAACGAGACUCUAGCCUGCUAACUAGCCGUUUCCGGCAUCAUAUGCUGCCGGCGGCAUAAAAUCCUUCUUAGAGGGACAGGCGGCUUCUAGCCGCACGAGAUUGAGCAAUAACAGGUCUGUGAUGCCCUUAGAUGUCCUGGGCCGCACGCGCGCUACAAUGAAGGUAUCAACGUGUCUUCCCAGGCCGAACGGUCCGGGUAACCCGCUGAACCACCUUCGUGCUAGGGAUUGGGGCUUGCAAUUGCUCCCCAUGAACGAGGAAUUCCCAGUAAGCGCGAGUCAUAAGCUCGCGUUGAUUACGUCCCUGCCCUUUGUACACACCGCCCGUCGCUACUUCCGAUUGAAUGAUUUAGUGAGGUCUUCGGACUGGUGCGCGAUAGCAUUAUUUACUAGUGCUGCCGAUGCUACUGGAAAGAUGACCAAACUUGAUCAUUUAGAGGAAGUAAAAGUCGUAAC
This 607-nucleotide ribosomal RNA is filed under the name Nala lividipes. RNAcentral describes it as "SSU rRNA". It matches the Rfam family "Eukaryotic small subunit ribosomal RNA", at positions 1183 to 1795 of the family's 1831-position model. The record is from RNAcentral. Lineage: Eukaryota; Metazoa; Arthropoda; Insecta; Dermaptera; Labiduridae.